AGUGAACGCUGGCGGUAGGCCUAACACAUGCAAGUCGAACGGCAGCACAGUAAGAGCUUGCUCUUACGGGUGGCGAGUGGCGGACGGGUGAGGAAUACAUCGGAAUCUACUUUUUCGUGGGGGAUAACGUAGGGAAACUUACGCUAAUACCGCAUACGACCUACGGGUGAAAGCAGGGGAUCUUCGGACCUUGCGCGAUUGAAUGAGCCGAUGUCGGAUUAGCUAGUUGGCGGGGUAAAGGCCCACCAAGGCGACGAUCCGUAGCUGGUCUGAGAGGAUGAUCAGACACACUGGAACUGAGACACGGUCCAGACUCCUACGGGAGGCAGCAGUGGGGAAUAUUGGACAAUGGGCGCAAGCCUGAUCCAGACAUACCGCGUGGGUGAAGAAGGCCUUCGGGUUGUAAAGCCCUUUUGUUGGGAAAGAAAAGCAGCAGGUUAAUACCCCGCUGUUAUGGCGGUACCAAAAGAAUAAGCACCGGCUAACUUCGUG
Molecule: ribosomal RNA, 492 nt
Filed under: uncultured bacterium
Lineage: Bacteria
Description: partial 16S ribosomal RNA
Rfam family: Bacterial small subunit ribosomal RNA
Source: RNAcentral